RNAcentral lists this transfer RNA (77 nucleotides) under Candidatus Peregrinibacteria bacterium CG22_combo_CG10-13_8_21_14_all_49_11. Its description in RNAcentral is "tRNA-Arg". It matches the Rfam family "tRNA". From Rfam's summary of the family: Transfer RNA (tRNA) molecules are approximately 80 nucleotides in length. Their secondary structure includes four short double-helical elements and three loops (D, anti-codon, and T loops). Lineage: Bacteria; Candidatus Peregrinibacteriota. The record is from RNAcentral.
GCGCCCGUAGCUCAGCUGGAUAGAGCAUCAGCUUGCGGAGCUGGGGGUCGCAGGUUCGAAUCCUGCCGGGCGUACCA